CCUACGGGAGGCAGCAGUAGGGAAUAUUGCUCAAUGGGGGAAACCCUGAAGCAGCAACGCCGCGUGGAGGAUGAAGGUUUUCGGAUUGUAAACUCCUUUUGUUAGAGAAGAUAAUGACGGUAUCUAACGAAUAAGCACCGGAUAACUCCGUGCCAGCAGCCGCGGUAAUACGGAGGGUGCAAGCGUUACGCGGAAUCACUGGGCGGAAAGAGCGCGUAGGCGGGAUAGCAAGUCAGAUGUGAAAUCCUAUGGCUUAACCAUAGAACUGCAUUUGAAACUGUUAUUCUAGAGUAUGGGAGAGGUAGGUGGAAUUCUUGGUGUAGGGGUAAAAUCCGUAGAGAUCAAGAGGAAUACUCAUUGCGAAGGCGACCUGCUAGAACAUAACUGACGCUGAUGCGCGAAAGCGUGGGGAGCAAACAGGAUUAGAUACCCGGGUAGUC
RNAcentral lists this ribosomal RNA (440 nucleotides) under uncultured bacterium. RNAcentral describes it as "partial 16S ribosomal RNA". It matches the Rfam family "Bacterial small subunit ribosomal RNA", at positions 338 to 795 of the family's 1533-position model. The record is from RNAcentral.